Tachysurus fulvidraco (yellow catfish) is the source of this 1111-nucleotide long non-coding RNA. RefSeq lists it as uncharacterized. NCBI's taxonomy places the organism in Eukaryota, Metazoa, Chordata, Actinopteri, Siluriformes, Bagridae. The transcript has 3 exons. The record is from RefSeq and is a predicted model, not a curated record.
AGACUGAUUUAUUAUACACCACUGACCACCUACCAGAUGAUUACAUUAAUAAGAGUGAAUUGAGCCCCACGUCAGUCAGACCUGCUUUUUAUACCAGACCCCAUCUCCUUCUAAUGAAGCAGAACUCGAGUGAACCAUCAGCGGGGCAUAAAAUUCACGGCAGCCUACAAAAACAAACAGCCCAAAUGAAAUAAAGACAUUACUGUGAUUUCACUUGGCUGCCUUUUAAUUUAGGAAUAAAAGCCCAAAGCAGAUCAAAACUUCCACUGAAGACCUCAAGGCUCAGGCAGCACUUAGACACCCUUUAGCAUGUCUGUGCUGCUUCCUGUCCCUGUCCCUGUCCCUGUCCCUGAGGUUAAACCACUCAUGUCACUGAUACCUAACUCUGUCAUGGAUGAGCUCUGUUUCUGCUUUAGGUAUAAAUCCUCUUCUCAUAUUUAGCAGUUUAUUUUAAACUAACAGGAAUAAAGGAGGUUCCUCGUGCUGUUGCUGGUCCUCAUGUCAUCUAGGUGUCUUCACUAUUUCUACUCACCAGGAACAAUCUCCUUUUGUUCCUCUACAUUAUGAGACAUUCAGGAGCUUGCAGGAGAGAAAAGCUGCACCCAGCGUCACUCGUCCUCUCCUGAUUAUUCCACCUGGGACUCGUUAGCUUAAUUAAUCUCGUCUUGUCCUUCCCUCAUGUCCUGUGGGAACAUUUGGGAUGAUGAAAAUUCCCCAUUAUUCCAGCUGGAUGGAGCUCCUGCCUUUUCACAGAUAUUCUGUUUGUGAGGUUUUCAGGAAUGCGAGUGGUAUCCGUCGUUAAUGAGCCGUCAGCGUUUACCUGUCACUGUGACACAUCUACAGAACUCCGUCACGCUGGAAUCUCUUCAGGAAUAAACGCCUGUGCUGUUGCAGAAGUCCCUGUAGCCUCCUGGGGCAGAUGGAGACUUUUGGAGGAUAAUUAAAAACUGAAAUGUAACUGUGAAUGAAAUCUUCAGCUUAUUGCACAUGUGUCCAUCUGCCCUGGACAUCAGCAUCAUCAUCAGCUUCAUCGUAUCUUCGUAAACUUCCUGCAUCACUCACAAAAUGCUGCGUUACAUUUCAUGUCUCUAAUUACAUCAAGCCCAGGUGU